UCUCGCGGUCACACUUAUUUCUCGAUUCCAAUUGGAAGCAAGUGCGUUCGCGUCGCGGAAAAUCAAGAAAAGAAAAUAGAAGAGAAGCACUGCAAAUGCAUUGUUAUUUUUAAAGUACAACCGCGAUUAGAAGGGCUCAAGGAACAGGUGUUUGUCGACCACUUGACUGGCCAUAAACCAUACAUCAGCGAGAGUUAUCCAAGAAAGGCUAAAAACUGUGCCAACACAGGCAAAUUCUCUUACAUUCGCUGUCGUUUCCCUGUGUGCGUGCGGGUGUGCGUGUGUGUGUGUGCGAAAGAGCGUGUGCAAAUAUAAGUUUUGCCGCGUUGUCUGAUCAGCAGCGAAUUUCAAGCCAAAAGAAGAGAGACAGAGAGAAAGGAGAGGAGCGGAUCGGGUGAAUGUCGCUAAAACACCAGAAGACAUCCUACCAACCGCUCGGAACGGCGGCUGCCAUGGACAACCCGGCGAUGACCCAGAGCGGGAGCAGUGGGGGCAGUCGGAGCAGCCGGGAGGGGCUUUCCGAGACCCACUCGUCACAACAGCUGCUCAGCUCUGACCCCAACAGCAUGGAGAUUCCGAGCAUCCCCAUCCCCGCCGCCGUGCCCUCGCGCCUGACCUCCGUGGGCAGGUCACAGUGGUUCACCGUCAUCGUUCUCUGCUUCGUCAACCUCAUCAACUACAUGGACCGCUUCACGAUCGCAGGAGUACUGACAGAUGUUCGAACUGACUUCAACAUUGGAAAUGACAGCGCUGGACUUCUGCAGACCGUAUUCGUUAUCUCGUAUAUGGUGUGCGCACCCGUCUUUGGAUAUCUGGGUGAUCGCUACUCCCGCCCCUGGAUAAUGGCGGUGGGCGUGGCCCUGUGGAGCACCACCACCCUGCUGGGAUCGUACAUGGAGAGCUUUGGAUGGUUCAUCACCUUCCGGGCGCUGGUCGGGAUCGGCGAGGCCUCGUACAGCACAAUAGCGCCAACGAUCAUCUCGGAUCUCUUCGUGCACGACAUGCGGUCCAAGAUGCUGGCAUUGUUCUACUUUGCCAUACCCGUGGGAUCCGGUCUGGGAUACAUUGUGGGAUCCAAGACCGCUCACCUGGCCAACAACUGGCGCUGGGCCCUUAGGGUCACGCCCAUUUUGGGCAUCGUGGCCGUCCUGCUGAUCGUGCUCAUCAAGGAUCCGGAACGUGGUCACAGCGAGGGAUCGCACAAUCUGGAGGCCACCACUUAUAGACAGGACAUCAAGGCUUUGGUCAAGAACCGCUCCUUCAUGCUCUCCACGGCAGGAUUCACAUGUGUGGCCUUUGUGGCCGGAGCCCUGGCCUGGUGGGGACCUUCCUUCAUCUAUCUAGGCAUGAAGAUGCAGCCCGGCAACGAGAACAUCGUCCAGGACGACAUCUCGUACAAGUUUGGUCUGGUGGCCAUGCUGGCGGGUCUCAUCGGAGUUCCGCUGGGCUCCUUUCUUGCCCAGAGGCUGAGGGGCAACUACGAGAACUGUGAUCCCUACAUCUGUGCGGUGGGACUCUUCAUCUCGGCUCCGAUGGUAUUUGCUGCUCUAGUGGUGCCGCAGACAAGCGAGAGCCUUUGCUUUUUCUUCGUAUUCGUGGCCCAGGUGGCACUAAACCUGUGCUGGUCCAUAGUGGCUGAUAUCCUACUGUAUGUGGUGAUUCCAACACGUCGUUCUACAGCCGAGGCCUUCCAGAUCCUCAUCUCACAUGCGUUGGGCGAUGCCGGCAGUCCUUAUUUGGUGGGAGCGAUCUCCGAGGCCAUCAUGAACCACCUGCACAAGAACCCCAGCGAUUCUGGUCUGACGAACGAAAUGCAGAGCAUGUCCCAAGUGGCGGAGAACCCAAUAAGUAAUGUCACCACGGCGCUCAUGGAAGCAACCACCAAUAUGAUUGAAACAGUGCGCUCAGCCUCGCUUUCCGAUGAAUACACUGACCGGGAACAGUUUGAGGGAUUGCAGUAUGCCCUAUUCUCCACCAGCUUUGUGGAGGUGCUGGGCGGUAUAUUCUUCAUGAUCACCGCCUGUUUUAUCAUCAAGGACAAGAACAAUGCCACGCGAGGAUUGCAAGGCGAACAGGAACCGCGAUCGUCAGCUGCCUCGGCCAGUGGGCAAAAGGACGUUGAGUCCUGCCACUCAGACUGCCUGGUCAUGUGCACUGACAUCGCGCUGCGCGAACGCACGUGAUAACGCGAAUAUGAAAUCUUAAAGUGUGCCCUGGGCACCGAAUGGUUUUUAUUUUCGGCCUAGCUCCCGAUGCCACCACUCAACAGCAGCAGCGGGAGCAGCGCGGUCAGAUUGCCUAAUACCAGCCGAUCCUGGAGAUAAUGCUGCGCACUCAUAGCUCCGAUGGCAUGCCGGGUGAACUGAUACUGACUGAAAACCAUCUAUAAUUUAAACUACGCUUACUCGCACCACGCACAUCCCGCAUCGGAUCGUACUGGAAGCUAAGGGGGACACCCUGCGCCUGCGCUCAGUUCGGCUGACACAAGACCCCUGUGUUCAUGUUCCUAUUAGGAAGAAAAGGAAGGAAGUUUAGAUCGGAAGGAAGGGCCACCAUGCCAACGUUCAAGCACACUUCACUGAUUUGUAGAUAUAUAUACAAACACUCACUCUCACAGGCACUCACCAAGUCAUAACAUUACACAGAUCAUUUUACUUGUAAACGGUAUACACGUAGUCUUAGAUAGGUCUAGCUCUGGUAUUUUAGGCUAAAUCAAAAUUAGACAGAGUUUCAUGCAGGGUUUCGCAUUCGCAGAAGUGCUUCCUCAGUUUGGAUAAUGUAAAUAGAUAUUAUCUCAGGCAUCGAGUGCGAAACGCCUGCAGUUUUGGAUAUUUGGAUAUAAAUGUGUAUGUAUAUUUUAUAUGAAUUGUAAAUAUAAAGAAGCGCCGGGCCAUUGUAUAAGUGCGUAGACUAUUUAAUCAAUUUAGUCUUACUCUGAAGUUAAUUUUAACCAUAGCAUUAGUUAGUUGUGUAACAAAUUGGAAGAAAUGUGUGCACCCUCAACCAUAACUGAAUAUUACAGCGUAACUAUUUUAAGCCAAAAUGGCAUUAA
This is an RNA transcript of Drosophila suzukii, 3052 nucleotides long. It is a transcript of the gene named Protein spinster, with no coding region annotated. NCBI's taxonomy places the organism in Eukaryota, Metazoa, Arthropoda, Insecta, Diptera, Drosophilidae. The record is from RefSeq and is a predicted model, not a curated record.